This 800-nucleotide long non-coding RNA is filed under the name Heterocephalus glaber (naked mole-rat). Its description in RNAcentral is "lncRNA (ENSHGLG00000039907.1)". The record is from RNAcentral. Lineage: Eukaryota; Metazoa; Chordata; Mammalia; Rodentia; Bathyergidae.
UAUUUUAUCCGAAUUCUGUGUCUCUGUUUCUUUCCGAGAUUUCUGCCACACUGCAAAUACUUGUAUUAACUGUGUAUUGUGGUGCAGCAUCUGAAAUGUCAUCUUGAGUGCAUCACUGUUUUGGGUUUCAGAUGUCCCCAUGAGCCCUGCACUGUGGGAUGACUGCAGAGAUAAAGACCAGCUGGAGAAGUUGGGGAGCAAUCCUGGAGUCAGACGGGAGACAUUUGCCUGGAUUUGCCCUGGGAGAUAGAAAUCAACCUGGCAGAGAACAGAGAAAAAUUGAGGACUUAUUACAACUACAACUGAGGAGACCACAUUCAAGCCACCUCAAAAGCAUGUUCUCGGGUUUUAUAGGAUGGUGACUGUUUCCACAAUUAAUUACAUCUCUGAUGUGUCAGGACUUGUGAUGGAGCAGCAAAGGUCAAAUUGUCUUGUAAGAAUGGGUGUUUUCAGACAGCUUGGGUCUGAAGUUCAGCGUGAAUGCUCUCAAAACCUGGUCUAACAAGGCUGCCAGCUUCAUUCCAAGUGCCCUACACCAGUGCUGCUCCCUUUGAUCUUCUUCCCUGAUAGGUUCCUGGUAGCUUACCAGAAGAAUUUACAGAACAUAGUAAUUACAAAGAGAGGACAGAAUUCCUGGGCCAGGGAAAUGUAAAUGACCCUGCUGUCUGUCCCCUUACCUGGGGCUCCUCAGCCUGCAUCGCUGUCUCUGCCAGCUCAGCUUCUAUCUCGGCUCUGCACUUGCAGACCCCGUCACGGGUAGAUGCCCUCAAGCUUGUGGCUGGUGUUUCAGCUGACAGGGC